Molecule: non-coding RNA, 8397 nt
Organism: Camellia sinensis
Lineage: Eukaryota; Viridiplantae; Streptophyta; Magnoliopsida; Ericales; Theaceae
Source: RefSeq, a predicted model, not a curated record
AGAGGGGGAAGGUUUUAACCGGGUAAUCUGAAAUCCUAACGCGUUUCGCGCAAGAGGAUGAAACGCAGUGUAACCAAUAGGUGUACUUAACCGUAUUUCGUACCGAGAGGGGGAAUGUUUUAACCGAGUAAUUUAAAAUCCUAGCGCGUUUCACUCAAGAGGAAGAAAGGUGGUGUAACCAACAGGGAUACCUAACCAUAUUUGAUAUGGAGAGGGAAAAGGUUUUAACCGCGUAAACUGAAAUCCUAACGCAUUUCACGCGAGAGGAGGAAAGAUGAUGUGACCAACAGGUGUACUUAACCGUAUUUUAUAUGGAGAGGGGGAAAGUUUUAACCGAAUCUGAAAUCAGAGUUGAAACACCAAAGCAUACAUUCUAAAUGCCAUUUUCGAGUUUCUAAGUACAGAGACGAGUUGGGUGUGCCCUUUGAUCAUCAUCGGAUGAAAAUAAAACACUUCGGCUCAUCACAUGAAUCUAUCCGUACAAACACAAGAGUGGCCUAGCCAAUUUUUGAAAUUCUUGUACAAAAUCAGAGCAAUGCGACCAAAUUAUGGCUGAUCCAGACAAAAAAUGACCCGUUCGGCCAAAACAUCUGCCGGCCGGCCGGCCAACAAAAAAUCCUAACGGCAGAAAACUUAGCUGGUCGGCCAAAAAAAGUGCCGGUUGGCCAAUUUGUUCAAGCACGGGCAGAAAAAACGGGUUUAAGAUCCAAUUGGUUUAAAGACACAUCUAAGGCUCAUUUUCCUCACACACACACACGUACGAAAACAACUCCCCUCCUUCCAAAGCUCUCUCUCUCUCUAGAUUCUCUCUUCAUUUCCUAUUGCCCAAAUCUACAUCGACCCAAAUCCGAGACAAUCACUGCCCCCUCUUCGAUUUGAACCGAUUGGAUUUCAAAAACGAAAGAUUUUCUAAUUCCUCUUUUGAUUCUUGUGAAUUUCUACAUAGCUUUGAACAAAUUUCUUUAGAUUUUGAUGUUUGCACGAAUUGGGUGAAAUUUCUUCAAUUUCCAAUUGUAUACUCAUGGUUUGGACACCUACACCACAAUCUUGGACUGAUUUUGGGGAUUUCUCAUUGCUUUCUAAAUUUCUUGCUCACACUACUAGAAAUAUGUGUUUUUGUGUCUAUUUUUUUGCGAUGGAUUGUUUGACCGUCGCAAAAAAAAACUUUUUGUAUCGAAAAUCUCGUUUUACUUAAACCCCCAAUGGCGUUCUUGACUAAAAUAAAUAAAUAAACAAUAAAACCCCCCAAAACCUUGCCCUCUCUCUCUCUCUCCCUCUCUCUCGUGCGCGCGCGCGCGCGUGCACGCUCGCCUGACUCUCUCUUUCGACUUUCCACUCUCAAAAUCGUGUUCGUUUGAAGAUUUUGAUCAAUUGUUGUUGAAGAUUUGAAGAUUUUGAUCAAUUGUUGAUGAAGAUUUCAAUCGAUUCAUAAUUGGUAAGCCAAAUUUCUAUGAAUUAAUCCUCUCUCCCUCCCUACCUCCCUACCUCCCCUCCGCUGCGCCUCCUCUUCGUCACAGGCGCUUUUCUUUCUCUUUCUUGCUCGAGCAGACUAUAGAGACCUCAAAAUUUUCAAUUCUAGGGUUUAGUACAGUAUUUAUUCUUGAGAUUUCUAUCAUUCUCAUCUCUCUCUAUCACUUCAGAUUAAGCAUUGAUUGAAUUCUAGGGUUUUCAAUUGACGAUUUUGGAUUGCUCAUGAGAAAAGGGUGAAUCAAGUAGUAAUAUUAGUAAUAGUAGAUGCAAAUGCUAAUGAAGCUCUCUCUCUCUCUCUCUCUAUAUAUAUAUAUAUAUAUAUGUACAUAUAUAUCGAUUAGUUCACUUCUGAUAAAGCUCUGAUGCAUUGCAUUUUGAAUUUGGUUUUGAGUCGCAUGAAGUUCAAUGUGACUCAUGUAACUUUGUUUUCUAAAUUGAUUCAAACAUUCUAAUUUGUUAUAUUUUCUGUUAAAGACGCUUUGUGAUUGAUAGUUUGAUUUGAAUUUCAGGUGCGUUGUUUUUGUUUUUGUAUUGCUGUUUGUUAUCUGCUCCAUUAGACGUAGUUGAUUUCUAUAUUGCUCGGUUUAAUUUUGAUUUCAAGCUCUCUCUGCAGUUUUCAAUUUCAAUUUAGUUUGAUGAAGCUCAGAAGUGAUUUAGAUCUUGAAUUAAAAGAUACUCUGGUAAUGCAUCUAUACAAGCCCUUUUAUAUCUUUUAGUUUUUUCUCUCUCUCUCUUCCCUUCCUUUGAAUGCUGCCACAUCUGUAAUCUCCUUGUAAAUUAAACACUUCCAUCAAUGAACAAAACUCUAAGGUGUGUCAUGAGCUCAAUAAUUUGAAGCAUAAAUGCUUCAAUUUAAAGAAAGCAAAAAGAAGCUUUAUAUCUAUAUCAAUUUUGCUUUGAUAAUGCAAGUGGUAGCUUUGCAUUGUUCUCCCUACUCUGUCGACAUGCAAGACUUAGCAUUUUGCCCAAUCAAUAAGACACAGAUGAGACGCUGUCUUCAUAUGCUAUAGAAAGAUCAGCCGAAACAUGGAAUUGUUCUAUUAUGAGGUCAUUCUUCGAGUAGCAUCUCAAGGGUCUAUUGAUUUUUGUUUUGCUUGGAACGUCUAUGGCAAUUGGUGAUGGUAUACUCACUCCUGCUAAAUCAGGUAGCUGAUAUUCAUAUUGCAGUGCUUUCUUCUUUCUCGUUUUAAACCUUGAUAUCAGUAAUGGUAUAAAAUUCUAAAUUCAAUCAUUCAAUUCAGCCAAUCACCAAAAAAGAUAAAUAAAUAAAUAAAUCUCUAGCCUAGUGGUUGGCUGGAUUUUAACAAUGGAUUUCAAUUUGAGUUAUAUAAUUAUUUAUUUACUAACAUAAAAAUCAUAUGCGUUGUUUAGCAAAUGACAUGUCCAAACCUAUACUUGGAUGAAUACUGCUCCUUAACACAUACCUUCAGCAGAGCUCUAUUUUGUAUAGCUAUAUGUAAUACAUGUAUUUCAAAUCUACUUCUAUCAUUCUUUUACAUUCAUCACUCGUGGAAAGGAGAAAAUGUGAUUUUUCUUUUCUUUUCUUUAUUUUUCCCUCAACAAUAACAUGGAAAAGUAAUGGUUGGCCAUUGUUGAAUUUGAGUUGGCUUUAGAUUUAAUAGGAUAAGUUCUCCAUUUGGACUUAUGAAGUUGAAAAUCUCUCAAUAUUCUCUUGAAGUAGGUUGUCUGCCUAUGUUCUUAUUGAUGAUUUUGCUCAUAGAGAUAAUAACGUAAUUUAAAUUUACUCUUUGGCAUGGACCAACUGAAUUUGUGACAAGGGGUAAGCAUAUUCAUGAUGUAACAAAAAUUAUGGGGGUAAAGUAAAGAAUCUUAACCAAAGAUUGUGUUACUGGAAUUAUUUUUUAGUGUGCAAGAGUGAAAAUGACAGUUCUUCUGUCUGUUUACAUGCCUAACAGUUGUGCUUUAUAUGAGUUCUAUGAUGGAAAUUUUUCUCUCUUUUUCCCCUGAAUUCUAAAUGAUGAAACACAAAUUCCAAGUCAAAACGGAUAUGUGAAGGAUUUUUCAAUUCCAUGUACAGGGACUUCUCUAUCUGUUCUAUUUUUAGAAAGGUUGUAUUUUCAGGAUUACGGUUCCAUUAUUUUAAGAGAUUUGCAUGUUUCCUUUUUUUUUUUUUUAGUUCUUUUAGCAAUUUCAGGUGUUAAACUUAAAUUCACAGGACUUCAUGAGAGUAAGUUUAGUUCUUUGUUACCUUUAUGUUAUGUUUGGAUCUUGGAUGUGCAGGAAAAGGGGAAGAAGAAAAAAAAAAGCCUCUACUUCAUUUAAUUUUCUCUUACCUUUUCUUUUCUCUCCACAAAUCUAAGAUCCAAACACAACCUUAAAUAUAACAUUAUCACGUGGAAUCCGCGUAGAUUUCAUGCACUUUUUCCAGUUUACAUGUUAAAGUUCCUCAGAAGCACUGGUAUUAAAGGUUGGGUGUCCCUAGGGGGCGUGUUUCUCUCAAUCACAGGUAUCGUUUUUAGUGCUUCUGAUAUAAUUUAGUUGUAUACUUAAUGAAUAAGGCUACUGGAAACUUGUUUUCUUCAUAUUAUUUACCAAAUGCUGGUUGUUUCAUGAAGUGUGUUUCAAAAACACUAGGCUGAAUAGUGCUUGGUUUGUUAAUUUGUUUCGAAAGACUUGGGUUUGGUUAAAAAAGAAAAAGAAACUCAAUUAUAUUGCUCAUCUUUUCCUAUUGUUUGCUCCAACAUUUCUUUAUCUGAAUUAUGAAUCUUCGAAGAGCAAUAUGUGAAUUUCCAUAUUCUAGAAGCCAUAUGUGUGUUAGAUAUCAAUUUUAACAAGUUAAACCUAGGGCAGAGUAGUGAUUAUAUAUACUUUUUUUUCCGUUCUUUUUCCCUUCCUUUCUCACUGAUCAUUAAUCUCAAAAUUUGGUUUCAAUGGCCACAAGAUACGAGGUCCUGAAAGUUGCUAGCAAACCAAAAUACUGGACAUUGGAAUCUGAUUGAAUGGUACAAUAUAAUGCUUCAAUCACCCAUUCUAUUGUUAAUGGCUACUAACCUAGGAAUACAUAUAUUACAUAUAUAUAUAUAUAUAUAUUUCCACAAAUUACUAUGAUGAUGAUUGGAUUGUAGAUGAACAACAUGAAUAUGUAGAAGUAACUUCAAAGUAUAAUGUAAUAUCAAGGAAAUGGGAAAUCUAUGCUUUGUAACCAUUUUGAUGUAUACGAUUUUUUCUUGAUUAUUGUAAAACUAAAAAAAAUUAAAGGCACCUCAUUUAGUAUAUGUUUUGAUUUUUCUUUUUGCAUUAAUUACUACAGACUGAAAAGUGGAAUGAGCAACAGGAGAAUGGGAUUUUCGUAGGGCCUCUUUAAUUGAACAUCUUCACUUGGCAUGGAGUUUUUCAGAUAGUAUUUUUUUGCUUUGUUUGAAGCUAGUUAUUUGGUUUUAUUUGAAACUUAAUGGAUUAAUAAGGCUCCCGAGACUCUUCUUGAACAUUGACACUUGAUUAUUGUUUGUGAGCAAGUUACUUAAGAGCUUGGAAGGGGUAUGGUGUGUUUCUUCUUCUUUUUUUUUUUUCUUUGUUAUUUUUAUUUAUUUAUUUUUUCAUUUUCAAUGUUUUUUAUGUUGCCAAGUCCCAUUUCACCUCUUGAACGUUACAUUGUUAUGUUUCUUGUUGAUGCUUAAUGGAUAGUGUUUUGGCCAUAGCUAUUCCCAGAUUUUUAAUGUUAUACUGUAUUUUUUUUUUGGAAAAUGAGUUGGACCCCCUCAAGAAGGCACCCCCUUUGACCCCCUCUCUCUCUGAUUGGCCAGUUUUUCUUUUUUUCCUUAUUCUCCAAUCACCACCCGCCACGUGUGUGUGGGGUGGUGGGGGUGGUGAUUGGAGGGGGUCUUAAUCACUUCCCUUUUUUUUUUUUUGGUGCGAUGGUAAUAGGAUGGUCGCUAAUACAUUGUAGGCAUUUUUAAAACUUUUUUGUGAUGGCAAACAUCAGUCGCCAUAAGUAGGUUAGGCGGUCGCAAAUAGUUUGCGAUUGUUGUUUUACGGUCGCAAAAAGUAUUUAUCACCCCAACAUUGGCGACCUCUAUUUGCCGUUGCAUGACCUAUCGCAAAAGAUCUUUUUGCAGCUAUAUUUUUAUUAUUUGUGAUGGCUUAUAGCGGUUACAAAAAGUGGUUUUAGUAGUGUCAAUUGACCAUGGAUUUGAACAAUAGCAUCUUUGAAUUGUUUGAAUUUUGGAUGAUUACUCAUUGUUUGAACAUUGAUUCCAUACAAUGACUCAUUGUUCUUUACAAUUUUCCUUGAGUGCUUGAUCAAUUGCCCAUGAAUUGCCCAUGUCUUUGGAUUAUUCACAAUUUUGCCACAUGCCCCAUUGAUUGAAUUUCAACUUGAACCAUGAAUUUCAACUUGAUUUGGGUAUUGAAUAAAAUUUCCAUGACUGAACACAAAUUCCCUUAAUUCAACCUUGAAUUUACAUUGUUGUUUUUUUUUUUUUUUUACACGCCUCAGUUUAACAUUGUUUAAAUUAAAUCUCUUGAGAUUUUCUUCAAUUUACCACUGAUUUUGCAUUUUUCUUCCAAAAUUUUAACAAUGUUAGAACAUUUCAAUCACUAUUCCAAAUUUUCCCUUUUGACUGAUGUUUUGAUUGCUAUAACUUGGGUUGGGAUUUCUCAUACUCUUUCUUUGAUUCCACAGAUUGUCAUGGCUAGUGACGAUGCUCUGCACGAUAUUGUACCACUUACUAUCGUCACUGAAGGUGACCUACCAUCACCUGUGCCUAGAGAUGAUAUUCCUGCACUUGUCACAGAUGUUGAGGGACACGAUGAGGAUAUCAUGGCCGAGGAUGUUAAUGCAGCACCAGAACUAGUCCCUUUGAGGAUAAGGCCAUUUGAUCAUGUGGCUUACAAACCCCGUACAUAUACGAUGGUUCGGGGGGAAUGCUACGCUUUAUUAAGUUCUCUCGGCAGGUCGCAGAGGACAUGUUGCUCCGGGAGUGCUCGAGGCACCUCUUCUAUGAGUCCUCCACGAUAUUCCUUCUUUCUUUUCUUUUUUUGUUUAGCGUAUCAAUGCUUUAAACACAUUUGAUAGCUUCAAUCUCUGUGUGCUAACAAUUAUCUUGUCACAGGUCAACGGCAGGCGGAUGAGUGGAUAUAGGAGCGUCCAUGGCGCUCGCUAGUGGUACAGAGACCCCCACUGAGGUUCGUACCUUGGUGGACAGAGCCAAAAAUUAGGCACAUUCUACCUGGGCAUCACAUCAUUGCAAGUGGAUCGGUCGAUUUUUAGCGCCUUGGUAGAGAGGUGGUGGGACACCACAAACUCCUUCCACUUCUCGUCUGCCAAGGAGAUGACGGUGACCUCCUAUGACUUCUCUAUGGUCACUGGUAUCUCGGUGGGCGGUGAUCUAAUCCCGUUUAAUCUUUGACUUGAGCCAGUGGCCGGCUGCUCAGAUGUUCCUUCUUGGGGCUGUCUCGUCCCUCACUCGCCAUGGAAUGAUCAGGUGCAACUGGCUCUUGCAGCACUUCCACGGGUUAGAGCUAGUGACUCUAGUGGAGGUUGCCCAGUAUGCCUGUGGGUUUCUUCUUUAUGUCAUCGGUACUACCCUAUUUGCGAACAGGGAUAAUACCAUAGGACUUUAUCUACUAAGCAACAUGGUGGAGCUCGAGCGGGUGAGGGAGGAUGACUAGGGUGGAAUUAGCCUUGCCACCCUCAAUGGGUACAUGAGCUACGUGUCUCGCUGAAGGACGAAGCUACUUAGAGGCUAUUAAAGAGCAUGUGAGAUUUGAGAUACCCCUGGCAGUGCCUCGCUUCCUGUACUAUGAUGGGAGGCUUUGCCCUCGUUGUCGGCACAUCCGUAGCUUCAUCGCCUUUCGUCGCUUCUUCGAUACAGUGAUUGCUGACAUGAUUGAGUGGCACCCUUGGACGCCAAUGCCCACCAUAAUGAGGGAGAGAUAUGUUGCUACCCGGGAGACUUCCUAGAUGAGGGUGCUGCUGGAGGGCCCCUUUUGCAGAGUCUGGUACUUGAGAGAGCGAUUCACCCGCCAGACUUUGGGCCAUGUUGACCCUCGCAUUUCGUCUUCUCUUUCUUCGCUCAUGAGGACUAUUGAUGAUAUCACUAACGAGGCCCUCAUUGAUGAUAUGAUGUUGGGGUAGCUGUUGAUGCCUUCUAUAUCCCCGGAAACUAUACCACAUUCUUGCGGUCUCACAUCAUGCCACCUCUAACUAAGAGGGGGGCUCAUGCCAUCGGAGUUGCUAAUGCCCAUGCCACUGGUCAUGAUGCUCUCGCUGGUGCUGCUCUUGCCACUAGAGGUCUCGCACCUCCUGCUAGUGAUGUUGCCUUUUCUCUCGGACAUCCGACACUUCCCACAGCGGUUAUAUUUCAGACCUCGAAUGGCGUUCUGGAUGAGCUACCUUUGGAGUUCCUUACUCCUGAGAUUCAACCGGUUCACCCUUUUCCUUGCUACUUUCUCAUUUAUUUCUCAUUAUUUUAUUUCAGUACUAAUCUCUCUUUUGACUGCAGUACCCAGAGAUGGGUUACACUAGUCAGUGCUUAGAGCUCAUCGACACACUGAUGGUCAUGGUGCGGAGGAGGGAGGCAUCUCUGAUCUCUGUUGGGAUUGGGAUAGCAUUUUCUUUACUCAUUUCAUCCCUUAUGCAGUUCUUUCUAUUUCAUUCACUUUUGAUAUACUACUUAUUUUAUGCCACAUGUUAUGAUAUUAUGAUCUUUAUCUUUUUUAGAUACCCUUUUCUCCAGCCAUGGGGAGGAAAGGAUGGAGAGCUCCAGGAUAAGAAAGAGGAGGUCGGGUUGAGUGAGGUUAUGGUAUAGAUGGCCAGGGUAGGAGAAGGAGGAGAGCAUCCUCUGAGGUUCCCAAGCUAGAGCUAAAGGCAUUUGAGGAGCACUUCGAGGAGGACAAUAGAGAGAGCAUCGAGGAGAGUGAUAGUGGCGGAGAUGCUGGUGCUGACCCCGAGGUUUCUGAGAGUAG